AGCGAACGCUGGCGGCAGGCCUAACACAUGCAAGUCGAACGAACUCUUCGGAGUUAGUGGCGGACGGGUGAGUAACACGUGGGAACGUGCCUUUUGGUUCGGAAUAACUCAGGGAAACUUGUGCUAAUACCGAAUGUGCCCUUCGGGGGAAAGAUUUAUCGCCAUUAGAUCGGCCCGCGUCUGAUUAGCUAGUUGGUGAGGUAAAAGCUCACCAAGGCGACGGUCAGUAGCUGGUCUGAGAGGAUGACCAGCCACACUGGGACUGAGACACGGCCCAGACUCCUACGGGAGGCAGCAGUGGGGAAUCUUGCGCAAUGGGCGAAAGCCUGACGCAGCCAUGCCGCGUGAAUGAUGAAGGUCUUAGGAUUGUAAAAUUCUUUCACCGGGGACGAUAAUGACGGUACCCGGAGAAGAAGCCCCGGCUAACUUCGUGCCAGCAGCCGCCGUAA
Molecule: ribosomal RNA, 449 nt
Filed under: uncultured bacterium
Lineage: Bacteria
Description: partial 16S ribosomal RNA
Rfam family: Bacterial small subunit ribosomal RNA
Source: RNAcentral